UCCCAGCUUUGAUAGAGAGGACAGACGCCUCGUUAUUCCAGCAGACCUGGUAUUGUUCUUCAAUUCUUAAUCCCAACGACUACACGGAUCUCUAUUCACCAUCCAGCUCAAAGAUUCCUAUUCACCAUCCAGCUCAAAGAUUCCUCUUCACCAUCCAGCUCUAUUAAACACCAGGUAUGUCUCCUCAAAUCUUGAGCUAUUUCGAAGGUUAUGAUUAACAAAGGGAAGUGUGCGAUUAACUAACCCACUAGAUUCAUCUUUUCGUUUUUUGGUCGAAUAGAUUUAUCUAUUUGAAUUGUUCUCUUUCUUGAAAAAAAAAAUAUUCUGUUGAAUAUGCAACUUGUUUCCAGUCAAGCACAGAUAACUUAAAAGGAAUGAACAAUAGAAAGAAAUUCAAGAGAAUAAUUUAACAAAAAUCGAUUGUUUCAACAUCCAAUCGUACAACACACCUUUUUCACUGCGUUCAUGGAUGGUUGCAGAAGCCUCUGAUUAUAAGAUGCAAGACAUACAGAACAAAACAUCACAACACUAAUGGUCAAGACGCAUUUCACAAUCAUUAGGUGAAUAUAUCUUUUCAACACAACAAUAACCUCCUACAGACAACAAAUAGACAUCUUAGAUUGCAUGAGAUCAGCUUGCAACUCUAAAACCAACGAAAACUAAAUGUUUGGUUGCUUUUGAUGUUCUCGUUAGAGCCCGUAGUCUUCCUUCUCUUAAGUGAAAAUCCAAGCAUCACAUCCAUUUCCUGAGGCUUACUAUUACAUUUUAGUCCAUGUCGUCUCAAUCCCUUCAACGUAUGGGAUGAUAUUGUGUGAUACCACGUUUUGGUGGCAAUUUCCGAAGAAUGAAAAGAACCAAUGAAGAUGGUACAAUCUCCACCAGCUGCAACGAAAAGUAUGUUGAAGUUAAGGGUUGCGCAAAAAAUAUCUACGUCACAACAAAAUGAAUCGCCUAGCACCUUCCUAGUACAAUUUUAUAACAGAACAUUCUAUAAAAUUAAAGUUCUCUUCUUCUGCAAGCAUCAAGUGUGACCAAGAACCAAAACUUACCAGGUAAUAUAUGAAGUUUAGAAUUGGAUGAUCCAAUACAUCAAGAUUUGCAGCUUUAUCAAAUGCAUUGAAGCACAUCUGGUACAUAGGAAAAUGACAGUACAAGCCAAUGUUAAAUGAACUUCAUUCAGAAGAACAAAGACAUCAGAAACAUAGAUGCGACUCUUAUGACUGCUGCCAAAUAAAUAGCUUGAAUAACAGCCAACUUAUUGCUAAUGAUAAUACAACUCGGUGACAGUUGUGCAACCAAUUUAUGAAUUUUUCAAGUUGUCAUUUAGCUAACCACUAGCUUUGAAAAUACUUCCAUCAAAAUUUUGCAAGCAAAAAUACAAACUCACCAUAAUGCAUCUAACCAGGAAGCAUGAGAAACAUAUGGUGGUCACAUAGCCAACCUGUCCAGAAGAAAAGCAAAAACAACACUUGACAACUAACAAAAGUGUAAACAGGUGAGUAUAAUAAGUCCAAUUACUAUCCAAACAAAAAAUACCUCUUGCAACUUCUUACGCCUCCCUUUAGAUUCUACAGGGAACCGCUGCAACAUCAAGAAAAGCCUACCACAAGAUGAAGUUAAGAUAUUACAUCAGAAUGCCAUCUAAUUAUUAGAGGCAAGCAGAGAUGCCAAUGCAUACAGUUAUCAGAAGAACACAGCUAAUUGAACCAAUAUGAAGGUAUUACAAUACAUUCCCCUUUAAACUUAGAUGUCCUCAAAAUGACCCCAAUGGGCCUACUGUUUCAUCUUAGCAUAACCCAUAACAUGCUAAGAGAUUCAAGAAACCACUUCAUAGGCAAACCUUGACCUUGAUUAAGACCAGCUAUAAAAUACAGUCUGACAAUCUCAAGGACACAAAUGAAAAGAAUAUAUGCCAGUCAGAUUCUCUUGCUAGUCUCACUGGACCUGGUCUGACCAUUCUCUUGUUGUCUUGCUUUCUACCUUGGGUUUCUUUUUCUCUUUUCCCCCUUCUGCUGUGAUGGAAUAUGAUAGAAAAUAGAGGGAGUAAUGGGCUACUCAAGAAGUGUCUUUAAGUUCCCCUCAACCAAAUGACACUGACAGUAGUAGUGAAAAAUAUAAUACAUGCCUUGACAAUACUGCAUUAAGCAACAAGUAAAAGCUUAAAAAAAUCUACUGAACUCACUUUGUUAGGCAAAUCCCAUCAGAUCAAACUCAGAUGUACUCAGCAUACAUAACAACCGGGAAUUUGUCUCACAUGCAAGGAAGACAUCAAAAUACCUCUUCCCCUAAGCAAAUAGAUAAUUAAUGAAGAAUACAAUAUAACUCUCAAAGGGGAUUUAAACAAUUCUCAAUUUUUUAUUAUUCCUCAAAAUCAAUUGUCAGUCAUAUCCUAUCUAAAGACAAAGAAGUUAUAGAUAUUUUCAGUAGACUUGUGAAUCCUAUUAGUCCUAGAACUUGGGGGGAAAUAAAAUAACAACAAUGCUAAUAACUUCCUUAGUAUGACGAGUUACUACUUCCUAAAUAAUAAUUGAUAUCUUAAACUUCCAAAUAUUAAAAUUAGAAAUUAAAGAUAUUAAUAAUAACUCUGAAGUUAAAGAGGUCUUGAAGAACAUAAAAGAUAGGAUGAGCCUGUGGCCCAAUGGUCCUUAUAUGGAAGUGCUUUGGAAAGGUUCAAGUUUGGCUAACCAAGCUAUACAAUGGCAUGCUAAAAUAGAAAAGAAUAAAAAAAGUAAAAGAGGAGCACUUUAGUUCCUGCUAUUAAGAAUAAAUGAGGAGCACUUUAGUUCCUGUUAUUAAGAAUAGAAGGAGAUAUUCAGAGGUAUAUAAACUAAAUGAGAAACGAUAAACUUUGAGAAAUUGAUUACAUGCAGACAUGGGACACUACUAAAGUGUUGAAGAACCAUUUGACUUUAUGCCUAGUAGAUCCAUAGUUUCAAAUCACGAUAGCAGCUGCAUUUGCAGGUCGUGGUUGCAGGCAUUGGAGAACAGGCUUGUAAUGGCUAUCACAUAACAUUAACGGCCAAACACAAAACAUUUUUUAAUAAGCAUAAAUUAGUUUGAGAAGGUAGCAAAUAGCAAAACUUAUUAUCUUCUAACUGUUAAAAACAUAUUUUUAUCAACAAAAAUUAUAGCUUAAAUUUUCCAUUUUUUUCAACUUCCUAUUUCAUUAAAAAUGUUGUACAAUAACUAAAAUAAGUAUUAAAUCUAAAUUCAAGAUUUAAACUUACUAUUAAAUUUAGAAGUUCUAAACUUAUUAUUAAAUUUGCUUAUCCGAAGUCUCAAAUUAUACUUGGCAUUGGCAGAACUUAAGAUUUUAUUAUAUAAUUAAUAAUGUAAAUUAAUAGAAUAGCAAAUAAUGAAAAGAAAUUUAAAAAAAUAUUAAAAAAAAAACAACACAACUUUUACAAAAACCACAUGCAGAAUACAGACAUUUAUGGUAAUUCCAAACUUAAAAGGAGAGGUUGAAGAAUUAGGAGGAGAAAUUUGAAUAAAAUUUUGAGAAGGUAGAAACUACUGCUUUGGACGGCUGCUCAGAAAUGAAAAGGAAGAGAACAGUGAGGCGAAUGCAUUAUUAGUAACAGCUGAUACCUACUUAAUAGGUAAGGGACUACUUGAAAACCAAUAAAUAAUGGUCAUUACAUGAAGGAUCUACAACAAAGCCUGUAAUUUUAGUAAAAAGAUUUAACGGGAAAUAUAUAAUGGAAAAAGGAUUUGCACAUGGUGAUCAUUGACCUAGAAGAAAGCAUACUAAUGUACCUAAGAUAAUUAUUUUGUGGGUGCUAAGGGAGAUACAAGCCAAUCUCAAAGAGGAGACAGACAACUAUAAGGCAUCAGGAGGGGACAGAAGAGUUUCUCACAACAGUGGACUUACAUUAGGGAUAGGCAUUGAAGUCAUCUUAGUUAUGGAUGAGCUGACCAGUCACAUUCAAGAUGAUAUCCAAGGUGCAUGUUAUUUGCAAAUGGUAUAAUCUUAGUGGAUUAUACUAGUGGAGUUGAUGAAAAGAUGAAGAUAUGAAGGACUCUUGCAAGCGGGCUUUAAACUAUAAAUAACAUUAAGUAUAUGCAAUGUGAGUUUAGCUCCCACAAACAAAACGGAAAUGAGAUUCAUUUGGAUAGAGUUUUUGGUGGCUAAAUGCUACCAAUUCAAGUAUUAAGUGUCUAUCAAGGUCAAUACAGGAUGGAUGAAACGGAAGAAUGAGACAGGUGUAUUAUGUGACUAUAAGAUCCUUAACAAAGCUUAGAGUAAGUUCUGCAGGACUAUGGUUAUACUAGCUAUGUUGAAUGGAAGUAGAGGUGAUCAUUUGGUUAUUUUGGUUCCAAACCGUACCAAAUUUGAUAUUGAUUCAGACUUGGUGUCUAACACAUCAAUCCGUGAAAAAUGAUCCAUACAUCCAAUCUCAACUAGUUUAGGAUUAAGGCUUAGUUGUUGUUAUCUAACAAUCCUAAUUUUAAAAUAUAAAAUUGAAUAAAAAAUUUAAUUAAAUCCUCCUUGACUCCAUCAUUAUCUCCUGAUUUGAAGAAACUCAAUCUCAACCCUUUUAGUGUUAAAGAAAAAAGAAUUGAAGUUGUUUUCCUUCACAUCCUUAGAAAUAAUAGAACAUAGUUAAUCCAUCACAAGACUAAAGUUGGAAGACUAAAUUCACUAAGAACACGAGAAUUAGAUAAGUCCUUAAUUUCCAUUGACUUCUUGACAAUGUGUUUUUCUUCUUCCCUUAGGAUCAAAGCCUCAAACUCUUGCUCAUUCACAUCAAUUCUCUGUAAUAUGUUUCUCAAAAUUUUACAACUCAAUCUUAUCACCUUGAUUUCAACAUGUAAAGCUCAAAAAUUAAAGCUUUAGACUCUUCAAGUUGCUCUUCAAGCUCUUCAUUAUCAAAUUCUUACUCGGUCUUUUUAGAGUUGUAAUUAUAUUCUCAAGAACUAAUAUAGCAUGUGGAUCAGCCUUGAGUUUAGAGUUGAAAAAUCAAAAUUAGUGAGGAAGGGUUCUGCAUAAGAUCUGUUGACAUGGAACUGACAUGGUAUCUACAAGCACACUGAACAGCAACAUGAAAUUCAGCAGCUUCCAAGAGGAUCAGACUUAAGUUUCCUAAAUAAAAAUAGAAUGCUUAAACUUCCCACAAAAUAAAAAUAGAAUUCUUAAACUUCCCACCACUAAAAUUUCUAAAUUAAAGAUCAUAAAUUUACAAUUAAAAAGAAUAACUUAUAAGAAUGGUUGCUAAACUGAAUCUUCCUUGACUCAUCAAUAAGCUACUAUUGAAUUGUGAUCUAAAAAUAAUAAGCAACUAAGUCUACAUCCAUUUAGAUCCAUUUUAGAUAUUUACCCAAGGUAAUCCAACCAUGCAGCAUAAUAUGAUUAUCACAAACUUGGCCAAUAAUCUUGACAUGGCGUUAAUUUUUCCACAUGGCAUGGCAUCACAAGGGAAUUACAGUCACAAGUAAAAAUUGAGUAUAAGAAAUUGAGCAACUAUGUUCUAUGUAGGUUGACUGGUACACCAAAAGGACAAUACCAGAAACAUGUAUUUGUUAAAUGGUGAUAACAUAGAACUAAGAUUUCCUGAAACUUAGUGUCUAGGGAGAGAAAUUUAGUCUUCAGAAGCUAAAAACAUAAUAUUGCUCAUGGGCCUUUUGUCAAGCAAAUAAGUUCUCUUUGGCAUACUUAGAAUAAGAAAAAACCACCAUCUUCUAAGUAUGCAAAUCCAUAAAUGAUAUUACCAUAUUGCAUGCAAUAGAAUUCAUUUAUUGAAGUUUAAAAAAAAUAUUUACUGAAUGAGACAAUCAUUUGUGCAUUGUGACCAAAAAUCAAAAUCAAGCUAUGUAGUAGGUAAAAUGGAAAUAUAAUUUAAAUUACCUUCCACCAUAAAGUAGAAAACCAAGAGCUGCAAACAAAGACACCCCUGCCAAUAUAUACAUGUAAGAACAAAAUAUGUUAGUUAAAAGGAUGAUGAAGUAUUGAACUGUAACAAGUUAUUGAAUAUCUGGAUUCUAGAUAUAUGGAAAAUAAAAAUAAAAAUAAAAUAAAAAAGCACCUGCAAAGAACAUCUUAGAGAUGAUGACCAGCAAUCGGGUAUCUUUCCACCAUAAAAUCAACCACAUAACAAUCUGGAAUAAUUAAAUCACAAUAAUUAAGGUUGAAACCCAGUAGUUUUGUCUAAGAUAGCAACACAUAAGCAUUCCAUGAAGCAUGCAACUGAAAAUGUAUCAACCAAGCAAUUGUUUGAAAGGAGGACCUGCAAGGAGAAUGUAUUGCCAGGAUAUACCAAGUAGAAAGUCAACAAUGCAUCACAGAAAAUUCUCAAACCUUCAAGUAAUCCUAUGAACAUUACCAUUAAAAAAGUGAACUGAUCCCAUAUUUUCAAAUUCCAAACCAUUUUUCAACUGUCUGCAAAACUGUAAGAUAAAGGGCAGGGAAACUGGAUGAUAAACCAGUUUGCAGCAUGAAGCAUGCUGAAGUGCAAUCCCAGGCCCAACACAUUGUCAUUGUCAUUGCCAGACUAAAGGUGAUCGAACAAGAUGAUUGAUUAGCACAGAAGUGCCAUUUCCUUCAAAGUAUUCUUAUGACAGCUUAAAAAUACUUUGAAAUACAACUUCUUGUGAAUAUUUGAAUUUUGAAGUAUACAGCUGUGUUUUACAUAUCUAUAAGGAGAUGCAGUGGGAUACUGUAAUAGCGGAAGUUAUUGCUAAAGCAACUACUAGCCAUAACUUAUGCAUCUACAAGGUUCUUGUACAUUACUUUCCUUGGUUUUGAAACACAAAGAAACACCUUAAGAAGUCCAUAGCAACCCUUUUAUUUGGUACUAUCAUUUGAAACUGUCUUCAUUUAUACAUGUUUGAGGUAUGGCACUAAAUUAUUUUAUCUUCUCCUCCAUUUCUUAUCACUUUUUGCCACUCUAAUCUAAUAGCAGGAUUUUUUAUCGUUCUAUUUCUUUAUUUAGUACAAUCUAUUAGUUUCUUCUAGUGGCUACUUAAAAUCUAAGGAAAUCCAUUUCCUCAAUUCUUUCAGUUUCCGACUUUGCUGCCAGAUUCCGUUAUUAACAAUUUCACAUUGCUGGAAGUAGCCUAAAAAUUCCUGCUUUUCUCUGAUACCCUGUAUUACAUGUUGUAUUAGAGCUUUUGCCGCAUUAAUUUUUCACAACCAGCUAACAGACAAAAGGAGCAUAAUAAUGCUAAAAGGUAAGAAUAAAUUUAUAUAGAGAGCAAGACUGGCUUGAAAAAUAAGCCUUUAUUGAACUUGGUGGGUAUAACAUGAUAAAAUGUAAUAAAAUAUUAAUUCAACAGAAAAAUGAAGAGAUCUAUCUUAAUAGACCCCAAUACAAUCAACAAACAAGUUUUUAUUUCAAAAUAUGGUUCUUAACUUGCAUAAAGUAAUGAACACACACAAAACAUAUCAGAUGAUCAAGCCUUGAGGCUUGAGUUCAUAAUUUUAUAAUGAUUUAUGCCAAAACUACGCAAAUUUUCCACUGCAACGCUGGACAAGUUAACUAGCAACAAGCAAGUACCAUCUACGAGGAUAUUCAGAAUAUUAUUUAGUUUAAUUCUUAGUUUCAUUGUAACAACCUACUGAUGUAGGAAUUAUUAGGGAUUUUAGGACUGUUUAUUUUAGGAAGAAAUAUUUUACUUAGAUAUUUAUGUGAUUUGUAGUUCCUAAUAAGUAUUGAAUUUAGGUUUCAUAAUCCUAACAUGAGUGAAAUACUCUACACAUUGGCCUAGUUUUUCCACAUAUUCUGGAAGCCUUUUUUAUCAGAACUGAUAUGAGCUAAAGGUCUCUACCGACCGAGAAUUUGUUUCUUACACCAUUGUUCUGCUCGUUCUAUCAAUUCCUCAUCACCUAUUCUUCAUUCCUUGCAUAUUAUAUUGCAGGUAACGAAAAUAGGCCUAUAACUAUGCAAAAUUCUCAAAAUUCAUAAAAUUAAUAAAUAUUUAAAGAUAUAAUCAAACUAACCAUUUACACAAUAGCACUUCAAAACAAUUUAGUAUCUUGGAUGAUUUGAGCUCUUCAACUUAAGAAUUUAUUGAGAAGUAGAUUAAAAGCACUUGAAGAAUCUUGAAGUUGAGAGAAAUUUUGAGAAACUUGAGAGACAGUUGAGAGAAAUCAAAGAAGGGUGAAUUUUGUCUAGGAAGGCAAGUGGAAGGCUUCAAAAUGUGAAGAAAAAAGUGUCUUCUGCCUUCAAUAAUUCAUACACUACAUGCAUGCAGUCUCCAGCAACAAUUCUAAAGGUUCCAACCCAUCAAAUGAAAGUAUCGGCCAUUAUGGCCAUUAAGUCACGACCUGUAACAGUUGUGACCGUUGUGUAAUGGCUGUAAUGGACGUUAUCAACACAAAUUUUUUCUCAUCUUGAAAUAAUAGCCUUAAUGGCCAUGGCUCCUUUGAAAACCUUUAAAUAAUGGCCUUUGUUUAAAACCAUGAUUAUGGAAUGAAGAAUCUUAAGGCAUAGUUACCUGAGUUGUAGUACUCUUAAGUCGUGGUACAAGUAUACUAAAUUAGGUAUGCAAUACACCAACUAAUGAAAUAUAGGAUACACAGCGGUACACUUAAUUGAUUUGCUACGACGGUCUUAGUUGGUAAGCCAAUAAUUUGGAGCAUAUAAAUUACAUUUAUUCAAUAUAAUAUAAUUUUUAAAUAAAUUAAAUAUGUGAUUAAUAGUUUAUAAUAUUUAUAUUUUCUACAAAUUUUUAUUUUUAACUAAUAAAAUAGUCAUUUACACUCCAAAACCAAGAUGACAUUGCCAAUUAUUCUACUAACAUGCAAAUCCACCAUCCCACUUAGUGUUUCAAAAUGUAUCUUCUUAUUCUUCUUCCUUUGCUGCAGCCUUUUUUUUCCUCCUCUUCAUCUUGUACCUAUAUACUAUUGCGCACAUGCAUAUUUAUUGAUCUUUCUUCCUUCCUUCCUUUCCAUCUUUAAUUCCUCAUUGGAACCUUUAUUUGGGCAACUUAGAUCGCAUACCCAGUGAUUUUGGACAUAAAAGUACUAUGUUUCAGUACACAACCAAGAUUGCAAUUUCCCAAGGAGGUGAGAGAAUUUGGUAACCACGCCUCUAAGGAGUCUGUUAAAUAAGGUAAGCCAAUUGGAUUUGGCUCAUGUAAGUUCCCCAUACAUGCUACACCUGCUCUCAUGAAAUAUGAGAAAAAGUUCAAUGUAAAAUACAUAGCCCACUAAAGAAGAAAACACUGAAGUACAACUUCCCCAUCCCUAUUCCCUAGGGCUAAAAUAUUAGAUUUGUUAGUUAGUUGCUACUAUCUUUCCAAGUAAAUUUUGUUGUCUUCCAACUCUUGAUUCCCUUUUAACCAGGGAAGUAAAAAAAUUUGCAUUGGCUUUAGACUCCACAAAGCCUAUGCAAAUACCAACUCAAGAAGAAGACUCGCAUUCACUCCUCUCUUUAACACUAACUCCCCUCUAGAAACAAUUUCUGAUUUGUUAAUCAAACAAUAUAGUUUUAACUAAUAAUUUCUAAAAUUUGAAAGUUCUUACCAGAAUCAAGAAUUAUAAUAGGGGUUAAGGAGGAUAAAGUCCCUAAACAAUAAAAUACAAUACAUGAAAGAAUCUACAAGGUUAUUUGCAUUUUAUAUUGUUUGUGGGUGAAACUAGUGAAUAAGUUAAUCAAAAGUAAGGAGUUGCGGAUAACAACUCUUGAGAUUUAGGGUUUUGGGCUAAGUAAAAGUAAGACAAUACAUAUGCAUUACAAACAGAACAUAUGCAUUACACAUUUCGCUCUUAUAAAAGGAAUGGAAGGGAAAUUCAACUGGAUAGCUUUUAGUUCCAAAUGCAACUAAUUCAAGUAUUCAGGUUCUAUCAUUUAGAAAUAUCAAAUAAUAAAUGAUGAUGUGUUAUAACUAUUAGGAUCAAAAGGAGGUAGAUUAAAUCGAGGAACAUGAAGGGUAUAUGACACAAUGGUACGAUCAUUGAUAAAGUGAAAGGUACGGACUGAUUGUUGAGCACCUAUAGUACAAUAUAUCUACAUGAUAAGUGUGACAAAAAUGCAAUUGUUAAGAUGGAUUUUUGGUCUUACAAUAAUGAAUGAGAAAAAAAAUAAAUGACCAUAUUCACUAGAGAGUGCAUAUUGCAAACAUCAAGCAUAAAAUGAAGGUGUUUAAUAAAAUGAUUUGAUCAUGUUCAACAUAAAGAACAAGAUAUUCCAAUACAAAAAGUGAUAAAUUAGUGAUGGAAGGAGCAAGGAGAGAGAGGGGAAGAAACCUAAAAUGGUGCAAAAGGAAAUAGUAUUGAAGGAUAUUAAUGGAAAAUUGGUAUAAAAGAAAGUUGAAUAGCAAAAAGAAAAGAUUCAUAUAACCGACCCCAACCAGUUUGAGAUUAAGCUUAGUUUUAGUUGUUGGAAGUCUUUUAGAGCCUAUCAUGUUAGAUAAUACCACCACCAUAGGAGCGAAUAUUUCACUAAACAAUAAAGUGUAUUCUCUUUACUUUGACGCAAACUUGAAUGAAAAUGAAAAUUCUCAAAUUAUUAAAUUUGGAAAAUCAUACUAGACCCGUCCCAAAAUCAACAAAGCCAACAAUUAAUGGACGAAUGUAGAUGCCAUUGUAGUCGGUGCAAUAUCAAGCUUUGCUACUAUAAAUCCCUCUUUACUUGUCUUGAUUGUUUGAAUGAGAGUAAAAGACAAGGAUUCUAAGAAUAGGGCCCCGUGGUUGCCCAAAUUGUUUCUUUGACAAAGGCCACUGGAUCCACUGCACCAAGAAAAAAAUGCAGAGGAAAAAUAGAUAAUAGAGAGCAAAAGCUUAAAAAGAGAGUUGUAGGGAGAGGGAGGAGGCAACAAGAGCAAUAUGAAAUGCAUACAGCGAAGCAAACAAAUCCCUUGUGCUAGAAUCCAAUCGGGAAUCCGAUAUUACUCGUGUUGCAGUGCCAACGGUAAAAAAAAAUUAAAAUUAAAAAAGCCACAUAUUUUACUCUUUAAAUUUUUCAAACACAUUAUAUGAAUUACUCACUUUCUCUAACUCUUUGAAUUACUCACGUCCUCUUAACUCUUUCAAACACAAUAUUUUACAUCCAUUGUGGUUUUUUAAUUAUUUCCAUCAUAUUUUUUUUUACACUGUGACACUGCCACGUAAGAAUAUUGCCAUAGAGCUUACAAUAUUCUAGCACGAGGGAUUUUAUUGUAACAUUUUAGAAGUCUUAGGAUUUUGUAAUAUCAAAAUGAAGAUAGGUGACGAAGGUGCAAUACUCUCCAAAGUUGAGGGAUAGCUAGUAAAAAUUACUCAUCCAAAACAUAGAAAGCGAAGACAAUGUUAUGCAUAAUCUAUGGUGAAUAAAGGUCAGUAAUAAUCCAAGCAAUAAAUUGAUGAGCAAUUAAAUGCGCAAGUUAAUUUUUAUUGGGUUAUAAUACAAUGCAAAAAUGGAGGGGAAAAUUUGUGUAUUUUCAGUGUUGUUAAAGGAGACACAGGCGCCUUUCAAAAGGAGCUCGCCUUGCCUCGCGAGGUACUAGGCGCCAAGCGGUCGAGGCGUCACCUAGCACCGCAUGCUUUUUUUUUUUUUUCUUAUUUUAAAGGAUUUUAAAAUUAAAACCCAAAAUUCUUCUUCUCCCAAUACCUUCUUUUGCCUUCUCCAAACAGCAGCCAGCCAACACACAGCCUUCUCCAAACAGCAUCCAUCAUCCGACACCAGUCCACAAGUAUGAGUCUUGUCUCCUUUUCUCUUUCUUCUUCUUACUUCUCCGCCCUUCUUCUCUGGAUCUCCUUCUUCUUCUUCGCCCUUCUUCUCCGGAUCUCCUCCCUUCCUUCCCUCUCAUUAUUCUCCUCCCCACAUCAUUGUCUCCACUCCCCAACCAAUCUCCAAACAUAAUGGGUGUUGUUGUGAAUCUUAUUUUUUAUUUAGAAAUUAAUUAUAAUGGGGGUUGUUGAUUUUGAUUUGUUGUUCAUUUAUUUGUGAGAAUUAUUGUUUAUUUAUUAAGAACAAUACUGAAUGGGUCAUGGGUGUUAUUGAUUUUAAAUUGUUGCUUAUUCAUAAUUUAUUUUAGUGGUGUGGCAGUGAUACUAGUCUACUAGCAUGCCUAAUGCCUUUUUAGUUAUUUAAUUUGAUUAGAUGAUAUAAAACUAUAAUUGAUUUUAUACUUUUGGUACUUGCUAUUACAUUGGAUUGUUCAUGUUUAACUUGUUUCUUGAUAUUUUAUUAAUGCUUUAUAUUAUAUUUGAAAUCUUGAUGAGUACUGAGUAAUAGACUAGGCUAGUAGUUCUAUUCAAUAGUCUUAUUUUAUAUUUUAUUAAUAAUGUUUUAUUAUAUAUUUAUUGUUUAUAUUAUUCUAAAUAUGAAUGUUAAUCUAUGUACAUUAUAUUUAUAUGCAUAUAUCUAAAAUAUGUAAAAUUUUUAGCUUCUAUCACCUUUUUAAAAAAGGCAUCGCCUCUCGCCUCGGGCGAUAGGAGGCCUUGUCGCCUUUAUAUCGCCUCUCACCUUGAUAACACUGUGUAUUUUAAAAAUUUUCCUUAUUUUUUCAGUUUCAUAGUACUUGAAAACAAGCUCACUUCAACAUGUUUUCCAAUUUUCCAAUGAAGAAAGAGAAACCAAAAAUGGAGAAGAUAACAACAAGAUAAAGAAAAAGUAAAUUGUUUCAAUUACGUAUACAAAUUCUCGGUAUUUUGAUAAAAUAAAAUAAAAAAAAAGAAAUUAAGCAAGAUUCUUAAAUUCAUGUUCUUUAUCAUGAGAAGUAUCUCCCACUACCCAAAAUUUUUAUUUAUCUUUUUAAAAAUAUUUAAUUGUGCAUGAAUCUAUAUUCUAGACAUGAAAGAUAAACUAAAUUUGUAAACAAACAUUGUUCUUAUUCUACCAUUUUGUUGGCAAUGAAGCACAUAGCAUUUCAUAAGCAUGUAAUUACUAUGCUUGAAAUAAAACUUCCUAAGAGGAUUUGAUAGGAUCAAGGACAAUUGUUUUCCUAACCCAAAUUAGGCCCAAUUUUGCAAAAAUUAACUCAUCCAUGGAACAUCUACGUAAAAAAUUAUUUUUCCUGUCAUUGGGUGAAACACUAUAAAUUAGUAAGGAAAAAAAAUUUUUUGAUAAAAAAUAAUUUGCUUAACAAACAAACAAUUUGAACCUACACAAACUUCAUUUUUCUAUUCAUAAUUGAAUAGGUAAGAAAUUAUAUGAUAAAUUGUGAUUAUCAUCCAUCAUUCACAAACAAUUAUCACGCUCCAAUUAUUAGGUUUUAUAAUUGGACUAUAGUGUGAAAUUAUUUGUUAAUACUUUUGCCACUUUUUAUCAAUAAUGGAUUUACGUGCAAAACCUUAGGAACUUCUAAGUAAUUAUCUCCUUGCUGUCCACAACCCAAUUAGACGGUAAGUACAAAAAAGUACCAUGUGAUUUCACAAUUUUACAAUUAAGCCUCUUUUUUGCAGCAUUUUCAUUCUGUGGGAGUUUGUACUAUUAGCACUUAAGUGCAAAACAUACACUAUUAGUUCACGAUUGUGUUUGAUCAUAUUUUAGUUGCUACAAUGGAAGUAGUUUUCUAAUAACAUUUACAAAUAUAAAUGCAAUUUGUGAAUAAACAUGAUUGGACUCCAUAAAAUAUUAGAUUAUGGUAGAUAGAAUCACAUGCAAUCCAUAACAAUUCACUAUUGCUCCAUUCUAUUUUCAGACAUGUUACCAUUUGCCCUCCCUCAAUGGAAAACCACAUCCACCACAUCAACCCAACUUUUACCUCAUGUCUAUAUAACAAUCAUGAUAUCCAUAAUAUAUGGCAAAAGUUCCUACACUUGACCUAACAUGAAUAAGACGACAUAUGAUAAACCUUACAUUUGUUUAUAUGUAAUAUACCUAAUUGUAGCAAUCCAAACAUUUUUAGAAAAAAAAAAACUAAAUAAGGAAAACAUUUUAUAUCCCAAGAGACUACUUUAUGCGAAGCUGGUCCAUUGAAAUAAGCUCAAUUAGACCACUUACAAAUUUACUGAUUGGCUUCAUGUUAAAAGUUGUGGCUAGUUUAGUGUGCCAACUAACUUGUUAAAGCAUGCCACACGCACAUCACCCAUGCUCUUCAACAACAUUAAAAAAAUAAAUAAAUUAAUAAAUCAAACACACAGAAAAAUAAGCAGAAUAUAUCUUAUACCAAUAAGAACUUUUUCAUAAAAUCAUGGCUUCCAUAAGCAGAAGGGAAUUGGAUUCAAAUCCUCAAUUUCAGUUGGACUAUUUCGUACAGUGAAACAGAAUUUUAAAAAAAAAAAUUACCUGAAUGGCAUAAACUACUGCAUUAAUUGUGAAGAAACUCGGCCUAAGUCCAUCAGUAGAUACAGCACGGGCCUGCUCAAUAUACAACAAUUAAUAGAGCCAACUUAAUCCAAUGCAGACUGAAAAACAAAUUAAACAGACUGUUAAGAAGCAUCACCUGAUAGUAUAUUUCUGCCCAGAACAAAACCAAAAGUGCAUAUGUUGUGAAGAAAGCAAGACUUGGCAAAUCAAGUAAGACAUGUUGGAGAAUCUAACAAAGCAUAUAUCAUCACGCUAGGGAUUAGAAUUGUUAGAAAGAGAAAAUUAGAACGGUGAUUCAAAGCUGGAAACUAACCGAUGGAUGUAUAGUUUCUAUAUCUCGGCGAAAAAUGAAUACAAGACAGCGAACUACAAGGUAGAAGAAAGCAGAAUCAAUAAGAAAACAGUAUAAUCAAGGCAUGAUAAAUGAAGACAAUAUAUGAAAGUUCAAGGUAUCCAGCACAAACCCCCAUUCACCAGGAAAUUGAGAAAGUGGAAAACCUUCUGUGUAGUCCAACCAUACUCUGGAACUCUCAAUUGUAUCCGUACCAGUUGAACCUAAGCACCAAUAAUUUCUAAGAUGUAACACCAACAAAAGAGGGGCAAAAGACAAUUACGUACAUUGCAUAUGGCAAUAGACGAAAAUUAACCCAGUAAAUCUAACAUCAAUAACCAUCCGUUCAAUUUGAAACCCUAGAAUCCUCAGUGAACUGAACACUAAUCCCCCGAUUCCCAAAUUGAAGCCCAACAUAAUUAGCUAAAUUAUAAAUGAGGUCAGAAAUUAAAUAAUUUAUUAAGCAAUUGAUCAUUGAGGUGAAAAAUAUUGACUAACUGACCUUUCAAAAUCCAAAUUACAAACUUUGAAAAAAAAAAUAUAUAAAAUAAAAUGAGAGAGAGAAAGAGAGAGAGUAAAAGAGAGGCGUACCAAAGCAACGGCGGCGACGAAGCCAUAAAGUGCGGCAAGAACGUGAAAGAUCCGAUCCUGCCACACAAUCGAUUCGUUUAUCUCUUGCCACCAACUGGAUGCGUCUCUCAAUUUGUAGGCUAUAAUCGCCGGAAAUUCUACUCCGUUCCUCCCCAUCCCCUCGAUCACCUAACCUCGCCGAAGAUUGAUAAAAACUGAAACUCUUCCUUAGAUUUUUCGAAUAACUACACUAUAUGUAUUAUUACAACAAGUAAGAAGGGAUCCGUUCACGUUCGUUCCUUCUUCUGUUUCUUUGCCUUUUUCUAAACUAGUUCUGUUUAUUAUCGUCCGGAAUAUAAAUGGAGGUGAAGAAAAGGCCGGCGAGAAGGAAAAGAAGGUUGGACGGGGGCGGGGGAUUUUCUCGAAAGAAAGGUAAGGUAACCGGCUAUAACCGGUGGUGUUAUCUCGGAUGAAUUUUAAGAUUACGUUUUUUAGUUUAGACUUUCCAGGUAACAGUUAUAGGUGCAUUCCACGUUCUCUUAAAUUCCCACGUUGCUUAACACUGGCUUACGGUGACCUAGGACAGGUGUGGCCUAUAACCAUCCCAAUAGCCAAAUGCGAUGCAUAUAUAAAUUUGUACUUUCAAUCUCAUGAGAGAUUAUCCAAUAUUUUUCAUCCAAUUUAUUGAAAAUUACAAUAAUUAUUUCCAAUAAUUAAUGAUUAUUUAAGGACAGAUAAUACUCUUUUAACUAAUAAGAUUGAAAGAGUUGAAUAAUCAUUUAAAAAUUAUCGCUAGCAUUUCUUUUAUUCAAAAUUUACCUUAAAAAAUUGUGGCUGCACUUUGAAUUAAUUUAUUAGUAAACUCAAAAUAAUUUCAUAAUCUAUGCUAAUAUAUAUAAAAAAAAAAAAACUUAAUGGCCUAAAUUUACUAUUCAUGAUCAAUAUCUAAUAAUAAUAAUUGCAUAUACAAUUUAAAAUAAACAAAAUUGAAAGUGACUCAUAUUUUUACAUUUAAAAAAAUUCUCUCUAAAUUCAAAUUAGUCAAUAAUAGUUUAAAAAUAUUAAUGAUAUUUGUUGAUUAGAUUGCCAUGUUAUUUUAAUUGUACUUUUUGAUUGUUCAAGUACACGUCCUAAGACUGUUUCCAAAAUUUAAGGCUUCAUAGAACUUUUAUUUUUGUUAAAUUUUAAGAGAGCAAAAAUGCAUUUAAUUUGUCGGUGGUGGCACUGGCUAUGCAGUCAGAAUGAAGCUAGCUCACAGUGGUUAGGAGUUUAUAGACCGAUAGGAUUGUGAACUUUGGUGCUAUGCAUAAUACUAUUUCGAAUCUAUGGUGUCCAAGAAAAGGCAUCUAUAUGUAGGAUUUCAAGCAGAAUAGGUGUUUGAUGCAGUUCUUUCGGACCGCUACUAGCAUUAGGGUUCAAAUCGAUUUAAGGUCGCUAAAGCCAGUAGUAAACCUACUGUACAUCCUGUUAUACCUGAUAUAAUCCCAUACAUAAUUAUACGAUUUAACAAAAUAUAUAAAUAUUUCAUGAACCAAAACUCGACCUGUGCAUGUAUCAAAACUAAAAUUAUAAAACUCAUACUAGAGCCCUCAUCAAAUGCUCCAGUAUGGUCAACAUAACAUGUCUCAAGCUCAGUUCAAACAUAAAUUCAUACUUAAAACUUUUACAUAAAGGGUAAUGAAAACAGGGAUUAGAAGGACAAAGCACAAUUAUAAUCCAUACAUAAUACAUGUCCACAACUAUACUAUUACAAUAGACUAUACCAGCAACUCAACUAACUUCCCAAACUAACUCUGAUCCUGCAAACCUGGGGUUAGGGGAAAGGGAUAAACUACAAGAGUCUAGUGAGCAGAACAUAAAAAGAGUUCAAUAAAUAUAUGAUUGUAUGAAUGCGUCACAACACAAACAAUUCAUAUCAAGAUGGACAUGUUACCGGUAACCCUCUACAAAUUUUAAUAGUGCUCGGCCCACGACGGGUGCUCCUCAGAACUUCUUCUUAAACAUAUUAUAACAUGUCCAUAAUGUCAGGGGCGUAGAAUGGACAGUCAUGGUCUUUCCCUUACAUAGUGCCAGGGGCAUAGAAUUGACAGCCCUGAUCUUUCCAUAUCCAUCAUAGCAUAUCAUAGCAUAUCAUAACAUACUCAAUGACCAGUGGGUCAUCCAACAUCCAUCCACAAUAACAAUAAAUUAUGCAAUGCGUCAUAUUUGUGAAUUCUAAUGUAAACAACUUAAUUACAUAUACAUGACAUUCGUGAUGCAUGAGCAUGCUUAAAAGGUUUGAUUUCUUUAAAAUACUAGAUCAGUUCAGUUUUACUCACCUCUGGCUGACGCUCGCCUAAAACUGAAGUAAUUAUCUCACUGCAGGCCUCUACGGUCUUCCAAGUUCGAUCCUACACAGAUGGACUUAAAUAAGGGACCAAACAUAACUUUUACAAUACUCAAAACAACCCCCUAAAAACCCCUAUAAACAUACAAGAAUAUACAUAGAAAUCAGGCAAAAAAAGGCUGGGCAGGAGACUUUCGGCGACAAGUUCGACGGCCGAAGGUCCCUCACAGAUCCAAAAGUCAAAACUUUCGGGGGCAGGUUCGGCGACCUAAAGCCCUUUACAGAUUCGAAAGUCAAACCUUUGGGGGCAGGUUCGACGGCCUAAAGCUCUCAUAGAUCCGAAGGUUGAAACCUUUUGGGGCAAGUUAGGUGGCCUAAAGCCCUUCACAGAUCCGAAGGUCAUGCCUUCAGGAGCAGGUUAGGUGGCCUAAAGGCUGCCUCCGUAGGUAGGUUUGGUGGCCAAACCUUACUUCGGCAGCCGAACUUGGGUUUUCCAGCAAGGCAAAAUCCGAUUUUGCCCUAAGCAAGCAUCCACCAACAGCUCCCUUUCUCACAUGCAACAGCUCAGAAACAAAGGCACACACAUAACAUGUAUAAAUUACAUCUAGAUCUAACCUAAUCCUCAUCAUGCAACAUCAACAACUCGAGAGAAAAUACCCAAUAACAACCCUAAGCUCAACCUUUCGACUUAGAGGAAAAAUUUAACUUGCAUGCAUCAACAAACCCCCCUAAAACACCUAUAAAACUUGCUGAAACCUUUAGAAAACAGGAUAAAGGUGAAGAUCAAACUUACCUCUUGAAAAACAGCAAGGUGACAGCAAGCAAGGGGUGGGCUUAGAGAUAGAGAGAUGAGUUCCGAGGGUUCCAAGAGCUAGAGUUUCGAAAAGCAACUUAAACUUCAAGCAUAAAAACACGAAUUCUUUAAGGAAUUUGGAGAAAUUUCAGCAAAAAUGCCAAAGAGAUUGCAUGAAAUCACCUUUGCUCAAAAAUAGAGAAAGAAAUCUCGUAUUUUCGGGUUGAUGGCCUUUAUAGGUGGCUGAGAAAACCACGUUCAGCGGCCGAACUUUAGGAUUCCUCUAAAACUCUUUUCUCUUUUCUUUUAACACGAUUCCAAAAAGUUUCAAAUUUAUUUUAUGAAAAUCUUAUUUUGCCCUUCUAAAGAUUCCAGUUUCGGGAUUCUGAAUUCCAAUAGAGAUUCUGUCGAAAAGUGAAAAUUCUGACGCCGGAGUUUAGCUGAGUAUUAUACCCCUUCCACUUAUUCAUGUCAACGUUGCAUCUACAUUAAUAAAAUAAGAAUAAAUAUAUUAUUAAUAUGUCCCAUAAUGGAGAAGAAGAAGAUAAUCGAGAAGAUAACGAUGAUAGCAGCUUUAGUAGCGAAGAGGAUGAUAAUCUUAACGGUUAAGUAGAUACUUUAUAUGUACAAUAAUAUAGUUAUACUUACUAUUAUUAUUCAAAACUUAAUGAUGCGCUUAAUUGUAUCUUUUAUACCAUUUGUUAGUUAAUUUGGAAGUCAUAUAACCAAGGCUAGAAGAUCCAAUAUUUCUAUGUUUAAUGAACAAGUAGGAUUCAAAUACAAAGUAGUAAGUUAUCAUUAUUUUGAUUUUAUUUGCUUGAUAUUUUUAAUUCAUUCUUACUUCAUUUUAUUUAUUUCAUGCAAUAGAACAUUCAUGUACAAUUUCUUAAAAAUUAUAUUGGAAAUCAAAGGAAGAUGGCAGCAAUUUACAGCAAUGAGAAACAAAUAUAUUGGAGGUGUAUGUAUGUGCCUAGACUGAUGCUAUAGGAGUUAUGAAUAAAGGAAGAUUUGAUAGUAGAUGGCUUUAGUUUGUUGCUGCAUAUGGGUUAAGGAGAAUAGAUACGGUUGAGUUUGUGCUUACAGCAAAUGCUUCUCAGCAUCUCUAGUUUUAUACCAUCAUCCAUAGCGAAGAAGAUGAUUCUCACUCCAUUUAAUAAUUGUGGAACAAUAUAAUAUGAUGUUUAUAUUUACAUAUAUUUUGGACAAAUUUGGAAUAAUAUAUAUAUUUAUGUAUAUAUAUUUUGAUGUUAUAUAUCGGGUAAUCUUUAUUUUAUGAAUUUUUCCUUUUUUUUUAUGUUAUUAACAUGUUUAUUGCAUGAGGAUUAUAUGUAUAUUGUUCAAUGUCUUUGUGAGCACUCCAAAUAUAUUAAUCAACAUGCCAUUGGAGGUUAAAUUAGAUAUGAUAAGUACAAAUACUGAAAAUUAAAUCAAUAGAAAAAUAAUAUCAAGAUAUUAAACUCAUCAAAAUCAUGCGUAUCAUCAGAACACUUAGCAUUUCAUACAUGAUAUUUACAUGUAACUUGUCAUACAAUAAAACUUUCCCAACUGAUCCUUUAAGUAUAAAUUAAUUUCAAUUUAUUAUACCAUAUCAUACAGCCAGCACUACAAGAAUUUUAAAAAUUACUAACGGAAAUUUCCGUUAGUAAACAUAGAUGUUCCAUUAGUGAACAAUUUCACUAACGGAUCUGUGACGGAUUCAUUCCGUUGGUAAAUUAUUUACUAACGGAAUUUGUAUCCGUUAGUGUCACUAAUGGAUCACCAAUGGAAAUGUCCAUUGGUGACACUAACGGAUUCCAUGUCCGUUAGUAUGUGAAUCGCUUUCUUUACAUAUGCUUCACUAACGGAAUUUGCGUUAGUAAUCCGUUAGUGAAUACAAAAUGGCGUUGUUUUCCUUUGCGACGGAUAUGGAUCCGUUAGUGACACCAACGGAAAGUCUGUUGGUAAUCCGUUGAUAAAUCAUAAAAUUAUAAAAUCAUCCCUAUAUUUUCAUACAUUAUUAAAAUACGCCAUGCACCUGUACCUGUACCCUGUACAUUCAUAUACAUCCAUCAUCAUCAUCCUGGACAUUAUUAAACUAUAUACAUAAAAAACCAAAUUAAUCAUUAAAAUAUAUUUAAAACUUAAAGAUUUUGUACUACAAUUAUAAUUUGAAAUAAAAAUUACCAACUGGUCAUAACAAAAGAUACAUACUAAACUAAACUAGCAAGCUCAUCAUCUGUAUCAUCAUCAUUGUCUGUAUGUGAUCACCAAUGACAGGGACAUCAUCAUGCCACUGCUGUGGAGACGGAGCUGGAGGUGCCCUAGGAGCAGAUGUCUGAGUGGAUGUCCCAAUACCUUAUUGUGCCAUCAUCCUAUGCAUAAACGCCUACAACUCCUCCACCACUGUGGUAAUUUGACCAUUCUCUGUCUCUAGCCGAUCAAUUUUAUUCUGCAUCAUAUUCAUUGUUUCAAUUGUAGAAGGAUCCAUUGGGGGUGCAGACGUGUAUGAAGCGAAACAAUGAGAUGGCUCAUGAAAAUAUGCAGAAGCCUGGGACCCUAAUCUAUAAACUCGACUCUUUUUCUGCCCGCCAACUGCUUCGUAGUAAAGCUGUGCCUCAUUUAUGGGUGUCGGCUCAUUGCUUCCCUCUUGUUGCUGUGUUGCUGCCUCCUUUAGUUGUACAUAUUUAUCCUGCAUUAUAAAUUUUAAAUAACAUAUUAGUAAAACGAUUUAAGUACAUCAAAAUUAUUUAUAACUAUAUUUAUUAUCAACUUACAUAAAUAGCUUUUGACCUAGCAUCAACAAACUCCUCAGUCCCCUUUCUCUUAUGUGUGGCCUCGAAAUGCUCAUAAGGAUGUGGUUUUCUUCCUAGUCUUUCUCUCUGUUACCAAUUAUAAGAAGGAUAACAAUUAGCAUCGCAAAAAAAUAUUAAUAACAAAUAAAUAUUAAAGGAAUUACUAAUACCAUCAUCUGCUGGUGGGUAUACUGUGAAAUUGAUCCGCAAGUGUGCCUGGAAAUGCUAGAUCCUAACCCUCCAGCCUCGCUACGCCUAUUGGCAGAAAACUUGUCACACUUCUCUUUAUAUUCAAAAGUGUUCCAAGUUUCUUGCCACUUCCUCAAAACAGAAUCUGGUGUAGCCAGAUUCUUCGUCUUCCCUUUCCUGAUUUCCCACAUUAAGCCCAUGUAUCUCUCAGCAGCCUUUUUCUGCCAUGCAAUUUUGACCAAGCUGUCAAUUGGUUGGUCCCAUAGGAAGUAUUUCUGCAAAACGAUUAAAGUAUAUAAAUAGUUAGUAAUUACAUAUUUCAUAUUAUAGCUCAAAAUGCUUAAAGAAUUAUGCUUCACCUUGAAUUCCUAUCAAUAAAACUCCUUAGUGUCAUUUGGCACUGUCUUCUAACAGUGCCCUUCCGCGACCAAUCUUUCUUUUAUUAUCAGAGUAAUUCUGUGACUGCACAUCUCCGACGGAUGUAAACUACAUGAACAACAGUGAGUUAGUAUAUGGAAACAUUGAAAUUAAUCGUAAUUAAGAAAUAAUUAACUAUUACUUAUUAUUAAUGAGUGAAAUGGUCUGUCGGAAUGACUAUGUACCGCCUACAGCAGUGGUCAAACUCGCAGAUGCUGGAGCAAAUGAUGGAGUAGAUGCUGAUGCAGAUCGUGUCCCUCUAGCUGAUACAGUAGCAGAAGAGGAUGUAGGUUGAGCUGACUGUGAAUGUGAUACUGAAGGUCGUGGAGCUGGAGUGGGACGGUGAGGAGCUAUAAUGUGACGGUGAGGAGGUGGAAGGGGAUGGGGAGGCAAUGCAUCGGUACAUGGUGGCACUGGUGGACAUGAUAGAUCCCUAGGACAUGGCUGUACACCGGAUGCAAGUGGUACCCAUAUCUGAAGCUCCGUAUUCUCAAGUCCCAUCGAUGUCCAUAGUAACUGCAGCUCAUACUCUAGUACGUCAUCUGCAAUCGCCUCCUCUUGACUUGUAUGAGCAGGAAGUCGAACCGGUCCUCUGGGCUUCUUAACCCUUCCACGUCCCCUCAUCUGUGAACAAAAAAAAAUAGUCAAUGCAAAUUGAACUUAAAAUAAAGUUCAUAAACAUUAAAUUAAAAACGUACAAACGUAGUAAGUUACUCACUGAGAAAUAAUGGAAAUAUACUACUCCAAACUGAUUUAGAAUAUAAAUUAAUUCAUUCUGAUACAUACGAAUCGAGCUCAUUAUCACCUUCUACAUCUGCAUCAGAAUCAGGGUCACUAAGAAACUCAUCUUCAUCUGUCGAAACAUCAUCAUGAAUCUCAGUCAUUCCUCCACUAGGAUCAUUCAGGCAGUGUUGUUCAGUAACAUCAUCCAGAUUUACUUCUGCGUAAUCAAUCUCAUCUUCUUGAAAAGGUUCAUAUGUCAUUGAAGACGUUUCAGAUACUUCAACAACGGGUUUACCUUUAACUUUCAUCACAGCCCACCAAUCAUUUUUGUCACGACGCUUGCUUGAGUAUGAAGCGUAAACGACCUGUAUUGCCUGAGAGGCUAAUACAAAUGGCUCGUACUUAGUGUAUCUUCGUUUAUUGUUAACAUCGACUAUUCUAUACUGUCUAUGCACCUUGGUACCCAUAUUUGGUGUCGGAUCAAACCAGUCACAUUUGAAAAGUAUAGUCCGCUUAAUUGGUAAUCCUGGAUACUCCAACCGCAACACCUCAACCAUCUGUCCAUAGUAGUCACUUUCUUCAUAACUGUAAUUACUUCCUUUUAUACAUACACCAAAAUUCAUUGAGUUAGUACUUGAAUUUCCAUUGAUUGUGUUGAAUUUACAUCCAUUAACACAAUACCCAUCAAAAGUGGUGACACUUCUGAGUGGUCCAUUUGACAGAUUUUGUAUAAACUGAUUAUCUACAUUGUUCUGCACUUCAUGGGCAUACUUGUAAAACCAUUGGCCAAACUCUCUCUCCAGUUUUUCAUCAACAGCUGCAUCUGUGAUAUUUGGUUGUGUCGACUUUACUCGCUCUACAUAUAUGCUAUACAUACAAAUUAACAAGUAAUGUUUAACAAUAAUGUACAAUAUAAGAGGAAUUAUACUAUUCAUAUAACUAACAAUACUUACUCAAUAUAUGUUUUCACUUCUGGACAAUUUAAGAAAAUAUAUGUUUGAGCAGCUCGGAUUUCAUCUUCAGUCAUAUAUCUCGAUUUUUCCUUUCCGAUAGUUCUACCUGUGCAUUUGAAUAUGCUUAAUUUACCCGGUACAUCGUCAUCGGAGACAAAUUUAUGCAAGUUGCGUGGAACCUUUUGAUGUCUGGUCAUUACAUGUGCUUCAAAAUAAUGAGCAGAAAAUGCACCUGCUUCUUCUACCAAGUAAGCAUUGCAUAUUGAACCUUCGACCCUUGCUUUAUUUUUGACAUUGUUCUUUAACUUUCUCAGGUAUCUAGUAUGUGAAAACAGAAAUUAGAAAUAUAUACUAAGUAAAUCAUCAUGCUGAGCAUUAUAUGUAAACAAUUAGUAAGUAUACCUCUCAAAUGGUAUGCACCGAUAUUGUACUAGUCCUGCAAUUAAUGCCUCAUAUGCAAGGUGUACUGAUAAAUGUUCUAUUGAAUCAAACAGACUUGGAGGAAAUACUCGUUCACGCUUACAAAGGAUCACAGGAAUCUGUUCAUUUAACCGUUGCAUGUCCUAAUUAGUAAGUGUAGUUGAAGUAAGUUCUCUAAAGAAAUUGCUAAGCUCUGUUAUUGGUUGCUAAACAUUAUUCGGUAACAAUUUCUCUGAGAGCUAUAGGAAGAAUUCGUUGCAUGAAAACAUGACAGUCGUGGCUUUUCAUACCAAAUAGUCUAAGCUUUCGACUAUCAACACAUCUCCCUAGAUUGGAAACAUAUCCAUCAGGGAAUUUUAGUGUUUUAAGCCAAUCACACAACACCAUCUUUGAUUGUUUAUCCAAACAAUAACUUGCUUUUGGAUAUUUUUCGCUGAUUGGAUCUUUCUUCAAUUCUGGUCUCCUGCAUAUUUCAUUUAAAUCUUUCCGUGAUUUUAUAUUGUCUCUCGUCUUCCCCACUACACUCAUCACUGUAUUAAAAAUAUUUUCAAAAACAUUCUUUUCAAUGUGCAUUACAUCAAGAUUGUGACGAAUCAUGUUUGAUGACCAAUAUGGCAAAUCCCAUAAUAUGCUCCACUUAUGCCAACCAUUUGUCUUUGAAAGCCGACCAUUUAUUUUAUGACUGUCAAUAUCUAUUAUCCGCAUCAACCCAAUUUGCUCAAGUUGUUUUAACAAGAAUUCCCCAGUUCUAAUUGGCGGCGGUGACUUGGAGACAAUUCGGUUUUUAAUAAAAGAUAUCUUGUUUCGACAAAAAGGGUGGUCGUCAGACAAAAACUUUCGAUGACUGUCAAACCAUGUUUGUUUACCCCCCUUUUUAAUGUAAAUGCAUCUGUGUUUUUCAUACAAUAGAGACAUGCAGUGCGUCCUGCUGUGCUCCACCCUGAGAGCAUUGAAUAAGCAGGGAAGUCACUAAUAGUCCAAAUUAAAGCAACACGCAUGCUAAAAUUGUUCUGCUGGAAAGCAUCGUAAGUAUUCACACCAAUUUUCCAAAGUUCUUUCAAUUCCUUCACUAAUGGUUGCAUGCAGACAUCAAGCUUCUCUUUUGGAUUCUUGGGACCAGGUAUGAUAAUUGUCAGGAACAUGUACUCAUCUUUCAUACACAUACCUGGUGGCAAAUUGUAUAGAGUUAAUAUUACUGGCCAUGAAGAAUACUGUUGCCUAGAUUGACCGAAUGGUUGAAAUCCAUCAGUGCAAAGGCCGAGUCUGAAAUUUCGGGCCUCUAUUGCAAAGGUUGGAUGAGUUUGGUUGAAAUGCUUCCAAGCAGGAGCAUCUGAACAAUGACGCAUCACCCCAUCCUCAUUUGCAUGGUCAUUAUGCCAAGUCAUAUACUUAGCUGUAACACAAGAUGCAUAAAGUCUUUACAAACGUGGUGUAAUGGGGAAGUAAUACAUCUUUUUGUAUGGUAUUAGAGUCUUCCCUUUCCCCACUAUGUGCUUGAGUCGUUUGAACCUUGCAUGGUCACAAAAUUUGCAUCUGGUAAGUUCUGUAUUAUUUUCCCAAUAAAUCAUACAACCAUUAACACAACAGUGUAUCUUUUGUACAGGAAACCCUAAUCCUUGCACUAGUCUCUUUGUUGAGUAAAAGCUGUCCGUCAUGACAUUGUCACUCAGUAACAUCUCCUUCAUAAAUUUACAAAUCUGAUCAAAACACCGUUCUGAGAAAUGAUGUUCUACCUUUAGAUUUAGUAAACGUGAAACAACUGAUAAUUGAGAGUGAGUUUCACAUCCAGGCCAUAGUUCUUGCUUAGCUGCAUUUAAUAUAUCAUACAGUUUCUAUGCAGCUGAGUUUGGCAUCUCAUAUGUAUUAUUAUUUAUUAUAUGACAGCUUGUUGCAUCUAUGACCAUGUCCUCCAACCGAUUGAAAUUUGGGUGAUUAACACUAUCAGAACCAUAAGACAUGUCUAAUAGUGCAUCACCAGAUCCGUCAGGCACUUCAGUUUCACCGUGCAAAUACCAAACAAGGUAAUUUUGCACAAAACCAUGCUUCAUUAAAUGAUAUUCACUGUAUUUUCAUCUUAAAAGCUACGGUUCUGACACCUAAAUCGAUUGCAAGAACAGUGAAUCUGAUCGCCAUUUAAAUAAUCUGGGCAGUUCUUAGCCUUCUCUAUAAAUUCAUUAAUCCUCUCUAAAUAUCUGGGAUUAAGUAAACCAUCUCUGAGACUAGAUAAUGCACCUGCUGGUGCACUUGCCAAGUGCACCAGCAGGUACACUAGAAAGAAAUCACAAAUUUCAAGAAAUCACAAAUUUCACAAAAAUCAAAAAUUUCAAAAAUAUCAAACAUUUCACAAAAUUUUCACAAGACUGGAGUACAUGAUUAAGGCAGAAUACGAAUUAGGUAAAACAUGAAUCAAAAAUCAAGCGGAACAUGAAUCAUGAAGAAAAUAGCGCACCUGUGGACACUGUCUGUCGAGAAUGGCAAGACUGGAGAGAGAGAAGGGCUCACUCGUGGACCGUGAUGCCGAAAAGGGUGCACCUGUCGAUGGUGGAUGGCGGCGGCGGUGAAAGACUCAGAGGUUGGCCGCAAAUUCGGAUUUCAGAGAUAUUUUGAUUUUCCAAGCACAUGAUCUAGGAAUUUCAGUAAGGAUAUUCUGUAUUUAGGUUUAUAAUUCACUAACGGAUGAUUGGUCCGUUAGUGAAAAAAACAUUAGAUAAAAAAAUAAUAAAAUCACCUACGGAUUUCUAACGGAAAAAUGUCCGUUAGUAUUUCACUAACAGACCUGUGACGGAUGGUUACGAGCGUAUUCUUCACUAACGAAAAUACUAACGGUUAUGUACCUCCGUUAUUGGAUAAUACAUUUUUCAUGUUCUGUUAGAGAUAACUGUUAGUAUCACUAACGGACUUCAAUCUGUUAGUGAAGUCCGUUAGUGAUCAAUUGAAUUCUUGUAGUGUAGUAUAAUCGUAGUUUAUAUCUUGAAACUAUAAUAAUUUGCAUUGGGCUAACCAACACUCAUUAAUCAAACUAAAUUAUUGUGCCAUUCAUAAUGUUAUGUCUUCUAUCUCUAUAUAAAAUUACUAAACAAACCUAAAUAUUACAUCCUUUUACAUCAAAAAGAUUCCCAUAUUACUAUGUCUUUCUUCAAUGGCAACCAGUACUCCUGUGAAGAAAAGUAACAGCAAAUAGACUUUACUAGCAUCUCUAACAACUUUAGAAACCAUGUAUCAAAUUACCAGAGGCCUUCUGGAUCUGAAAGAUGAAAUCAAGAACUUUCUAAAGAGAAUAGUAAAAUAAUAUGGAGAAGAAGAUAUUAAAGUCUUUAUGUUUUAGGAUUAUCCUCUUAUCAAUGUAUAUGAAAUGAUGAUGGAAUUUGUUGAAGGUGAAAAGAAAGACAUUAAAAAGACAAAAGUUGUGCAAUUUUCUGGUGAUUCAUCUGAAUUUUGAUGGAAUUGAAUAUCUUUUAUAAGAUAUUUCUUGUUAUCUUUUUUAUUAUUAUUAUGAAGGUAAUUUUGGAGUAUCUAAUAUGAUCAACUAUGAUUAAUGAUACUUCAUUUUUAUUUAUUUUUUCUAUAUUACUGUAUUUCUUUUUUUUAUAUACUUUAAAUGAAACCGUGAUAUAUUUUUUUUUAUGACAUUGUUGGUUUUAUAAACAAUUUAUUUUGUCAAACGGCAUCUUUUGAUAUUAUUAAGAAAAGUAAGAAGCUUACAUUUUAAAAUAUCUUUGAGAUUAAAAUUAUUGAAAGAUAUGAUCAUAUACAGCCUAAACUGAAAAGCAUACAACAAUUGAUAAAAAAAAAAACAAUAAUUCUAAGAUAUAAUUGAAUAACAAUAUAUCCACAUUAGUGAAUCAAAUGUAAGCUUAUAUGAGCACUCAACAAUAUAGAUGUUUUAGAAUGAAAAAAAAAACUGAUAUAGCAAAAAAAAUUAAUUACUCAACCUUAUAAUCCAUUUAUCAAACAUUUCAUAGACAUAAAAAGUAACCAAAUCUAUUAAUAAUUAAUUUUUUUUGACAUAAUACAACCACUAUAUAUCCCAACUAAUAAAGUAAUAACUAAAAUAUUUAUAUUUGUUUGAUUAUAUUCACUGUCUUUCUUUUUUUCUCCUGCAAUAGAUGUUGCAAAAAUGUUAUUUGAUGAAGAUUCUCCAACUAAAUAUGAUCUUCCAUUCUUUUUUGACUCAAUAUAAAGUUAUACGCUUCAAUAGCCUCUUUUUUAGUCUCAUAAGAUUUGAAUACGUUUUUACUAAUGCCCACAAUAUUCUGUGAAUGUUCAUGCCAAUAAGUGUAACUUUCAUGUUUAUAACCUUCAAAAAUAACGUAAUACUUGUUUUGCAUAUUUCUUUCUUUAUCCAUUAGCAAAUUCAAGGCAGAAUACGAGAAGG
This 28039-nucleotide long non-coding RNA is filed under the name Manihot esculenta (cassava). Its description in RNAcentral is "long non-coding RNA (MESC_LNC005944)". The record is from RNAcentral. Lineage: Eukaryota; Viridiplantae; Streptophyta; Magnoliopsida; Malpighiales; Euphorbiaceae.